RNAcentral lists this long non-coding RNA (822 nucleotides) under Androctonus crassicauda. The record is from RNAcentral. Lineage: Eukaryota; Metazoa; Arthropoda; Arachnida; Scorpiones; Buthidae.
CAGGCGUGCUGGAGUGGUAAAAUCUACAACAGUAAAUACCGAUAAGAGCAGUAGAAACAAAAGGAAGUACUACAUUCUUAUUCUGGCAAUAAUAAAUCUGCCGAAAGUGCUCCUUAAGGUGAAUUGUUUUUUCUUGAUUAUAAUCCUUGGGUCUGCUCAUUGGUGCUGUGUGCUGUUGAAUCUGUUUAUACGUUUGUAAGCUGAAGAUGGCAAUAAUAAAUCUGCCGAAAGCACUCCUUAAAGAGAAUUGUUGUUUCUUGAUUAUAAUCCUUAGGUCUGCUCAUUAGUGCUGUGUACUAUUGAAUCUAAUAAAUAUAUCUGUUUCUUAUAUGUUAUAAUAGUUUAAACAUUGUAAGAAUUUUGUAGAUGUGUCCACUGUGUAUGUAUAGUGAGUUAAUUUUGCUGUACAUCAUUGUCCUAAUUUCUUCUCUAAGGGAGUGAGUAAUGAGAAUGAUUUAUCCACCAUUGAUCUUAUUGCUGUGGGUUGUUUGUGAGUUUUGACAAGUCCAUAUAAUGGCAGAUAUAAGGAAUUAUACAGUAGACAUAUAGACUAUAUGAACGCAUCCAAUGCAGAACUUUUAUCCAUAGAUCAAACUCAUAAUUUAACUGAUACCAUACAAAGAAUGAUGAAUAGACCUGAUUUCCCAGAAAUUUGGAAGGUCAAACUAUUGCAUAAUUCAUUAUGCCUGCCAUUAUAUAACUUGUCAAAUAAAAUGCAAAAUUUGAUUGUUUUGUUAAUUUUUAUGAAUAGUAAUAAUACAUACAAAAAUUACACACACACACACACACACACACACACACACACACACACACACACACACA